AAUACUUGAUUGAAACUUCGGUCGAUUGAUAGUAUGGAGAGCGGCGGACGGGUGAGUAACGCGUAGGCAACCUGCCUUAUGCAGAGGGAUAGCCAUUGGAAACGAUGAUUAAAACCUCAUAAUGCCAAGAGUUCACAUGUACUUUUGGCCAAAGAUUUAUCGGCAUAAGAUGGGCCUGCGUCUGAUUAGCUAGUUGGUGAGGUAACGGCUCACCAAGGCGACGAUCAGUAGCCGACCUGAGAGGGUGAUCGGCCACAUUGGAACUGAGACACGGUCCAAACUCCUACGGGAGGCAGCAGUGGGGAAUAUUGCACAAUGGGCGAAAGCCUGAUGCAGCAACGCCGCGUGAGCGAUGAAGGUCUUCGGAUCGUAAAGCUCUGUCCUUGGGGAAGAUAAUGACGGUACCCUUGGAGGAAGCCCCGGCUAACUACGUGCCAGCAGCCGCGGUAAUACGUAGGGGGCAAGCGUUAUCCGGAAUUAUUGGGCGUAAAGAGUGCGUAGGUGGUUACCUAAGCAGGGGGUGAAAGGCUAUGGCUUAACCAUAGUUAGCCCCCUGAACUGGGCUACUUGAGUGCAGGAGAGGAAAGCGGAAUUCCUAGUGUAGCGGUGAAAUGCGUAGAUAUUAGGAGGAACACCAGUGGCGAAGGCGGCUUU
RNAcentral lists this ribosomal RNA (654 nucleotides) under uncultured bacterium. RNAcentral describes it as "bacterial SSU rRNA". It matches the Rfam family "Bacterial small subunit ribosomal RNA", at positions 65 to 728 of the family's 1533-position model. The record is from RNAcentral.